Molecule: small nucleolar RNA, 108 nt
Organism: Pistacia vera
Lineage: Eukaryota; Viridiplantae; Streptophyta; Magnoliopsida; Sapindales; Anacardiaceae
Source: RefSeq, a predicted model, not a curated record
GUAUCUAUGGUGGGGACAUUGGACUAAAAGCAGUUUAAAACGUUCCCAAGCCCCAUGGAAUGGCUCACCUUUUAUUUGCGUAAAGGUAGCAAUCUUACCUCUCAAUUC